GGGGAUUUAGCUCAGCGGCAUAAGCGCCUGCCUGGCAAGCAGGCAGUUGUAAGUUCAAUCCCCG
This 64-nucleotide transfer RNA is filed under the name Cavia porcellus (domestic guinea pig). It matches the Rfam family "tRNA". From Rfam's summary of the family: Transfer RNA (tRNA) molecules are approximately 80 nucleotides in length. Their secondary structure includes four short double-helical elements and three loops (D, anti-codon, and T loops). Further hydrogen bonds mediate the characteristic L-shaped molecular structure. tRNAs have two regions of fundamental functional importance: the anti-codon, which is responsible for specific mRNA codon recognition, and the 3' end, to which the tRNAs corresponding amino acid is attached (by aminoacyl-tRNA synthetases). tRNAs cope with the degeneracy of the genetic code in two manners: having more than one tRNA (with a specific anti-codon) for a particular amino acid; and 'wobble' base-pairing, i.e. permitting non-standard base-pairing at the 3rd anti-codon position. Lineage: Eukaryota; Metazoa; Chordata; Mammalia; Rodentia; Caviidae. The record is from Rfam by way of RNAcentral.